CCUCUGGUGGAGCACAGUGGUACCUGUUUCAGUUCAACAACUCGGAUACUAUUGCAGAAUACCCUCAUCGGAGCUGUUCAGGGAGUUCUUUAAGAGACCUCAAAAAUAAACAAAAAAAUAAACACAGACAAAAAUAAAGGAUGUUAAUCAGACCACUUAUAAAGAAGUACAUACGUGCACACACACACACAAACACACACACACACACAUCACAAACAGGCUACACAAGUAAAUACACACACACUCCACAUCACAAACAGGCUUCACACGGCACUGCUGUCACACGUUUAAACACAUACAACAUUGCUUGUUUUUUUCACUUUGACUCACUUUUACCAAAAUCCAGAGAUUGUCCAGCCUUCCUGUUGUGAGCUCAGCGAGUCCUGUGUUGACAGCCCUGCUCCAGGCUUCUGUUUGAAUGUGUUGCUUUAGUGCGAGAAUGAUACAGGCUGUGGAACUGGUGUGUCCAGCAGCACAGUGAUGUUUUGAACACAAAGCGAAGCACCAAGGACACGUGCAGCUGACCCUCGCAGCCUUGCUUUUUGCUGUCUCACAUUCAUAUUUUGUGCUGUAUUUGUAUUUAUUUUUUAUCUGAAAGUAACUUCAAAUAUUUGUUUUGUUUUUUCAAAUUAGAAAAACAAGGUUGGGUGGGGGGUGAGCUGUGCAAAGGAUUUGGUCUCUGCUUCAAGGACAGUCUUAGUGCCAUCUGUCUCAGUGUGACUGUUUCCCAAGAGUGACGUUCAUUUGUAAAGUCCCAGAACACAGCUCCUGAUGUUAAUAGAGAUUCUGAAGCACAUUGCAGUGUGGAGUUCUGUGCAACGCGUCUUUACAAGGCUGUGAUUUGAGUGUGUUUGAGGUCAUUUUUAUAUUCUGUUGGGCCACCACAAACCACACACAGAUGAGCAGGGACCACCAGACAGGCCUGUGCGCGGCCGCAGAGUGACCGCC
Long non-coding RNA from Acipenser ruthenus (sterlet), 948 nucleotides. RefSeq lists it as uncharacterized. NCBI's taxonomy places the organism in Eukaryota, Metazoa, Chordata, Actinopteri, Acipenseriformes, Acipenseridae. The transcript has 3 exons. The record is from RefSeq and is a predicted model, not a curated record.